UAAUUGAAACAAUUAUUUAUUGAGAUAGGGU
Molecule: non-coding RNA, 31 nt
Filed under: Rattus norvegicus (Norway rat)
Lineage: Eukaryota; Metazoa; Chordata; Mammalia; Rodentia; Muridae
Source: RNAcentral